ACUGCAACUUGAGUUGAGUUGACGGAAAUAAGGAUUCAAAGUUGUUACAAUAUGAAAUUAUAAGUUACUGCAACUUGAGUUGAGUUAACAGAAAUGAGAAUUGAAAGUUGAGCAAACUCAAAAGCAAAACUUAAAAUGUUAUGUUUAAUUGCCCAACUUAAAAUUCUGCUGAAGUUUGUUACCUUACAAUUUUGAGUUCUGCUAGCUUUUUUUUUUUUUACAGUGCAGGUGUUGAAUUGGUCCGGUCGGCAGC
Molecule: long non-coding RNA, 253 nt
Organism: Sebastes umbrosus (honeycomb rockfish)
Lineage: Eukaryota; Metazoa; Chordata; Actinopteri; Perciformes; Sebastidae
Exons: 4
Source: RefSeq, a predicted model, not a curated record